GUGCAGACGUUUCCAGCGAGGCCGAACCUGCGGUGGUUCGGUUCUGGCCUGUUGUGUCUGCUAGAGGAACCGGAGGCUGUUUGAGGCCCAGCUGUGGUUCGGUUCUUCACGGCUCGGUUAUAGGUAAACCUCCUACAAAC
Nothobranchius furzeri (turquoise killifish) is the source of this 140-nucleotide small nucleolar RNA. The record is from Ensembl. Lineage: Eukaryota; Metazoa; Chordata; Actinopteri; Cyprinodontiformes; Nothobranchiidae.